GACGAACGCUGGCGGCGUGCCUAAUACAUGCAAGUAGAACGCUGAAGGAGGAGCUUGCUUCUCUGGAUGAGUUGCGAACGGGUGAGUAACGCGUAGGUAACCUGCCUGGUAGCGGGGGAUAACUAUUGGAAACGAUAGCUAAUACCGCAUAAGAGUAGAUGUUGCAUGACAUUUGCUUAAAAGGUGCAAUUGCAUCACUACCAGAUGGACCUGCGUUGUAUUAGCUAGUUGGUGAGGUAACGGCUCACCAAGGCAACGAUACAUAGCCGACCUGAGAGGGUGAUCAGCCACACUGGGACUGAGACACGGCCCAGACUCAUACGGGAGGCAGCAGUAGGGAAUCUUCGGCAAUGGACGGAAGUCUGACCGAGCAACGCCGAGUGAGUGAAGAAGGUUGUCGGAUCGUAAAGCUCUGUUGUAAGAGAAGAACGAGUGUGAGAGUGGAAAGUUCACACUGUGACGGUAUCUUACCAGAAAGGGACGGCUAACUACGUG
This 495-nucleotide ribosomal RNA is filed under the name uncultured bacterium. Its description in RNAcentral is "partial 16S ribosomal RNA". It matches the Rfam family "Bacterial small subunit ribosomal RNA", at positions 28 to 507 of the family's 1533-position model. The record is from RNAcentral.